CACAACUCGAUAAUCUUAAUUUGUUUGCAUGGAGUUUUCCCCAAGGAACAAAAUCCGAAAUAUGUAAAUAAAACCCCUGUCGGAACGAUAAAAAUCGCAAAAAUCCAACGUUUCUCAUUGUUCGCUUGCAAUCUGUCUGAAUCUGGAAUUAAAUGUGCACGUGUACAACUCCAAACAUGGCAUAACUAUUUUUAUUAGAUACGCUAUUUCUGAGUUGUAAUGUACCCAUUAUAAAUAUCCCUUUAACGUUAUAAUUAUCAUUAUCAUUAGUAAACAUCUUUCAUUAUCAUUAGCAAACGUCUUAAAUUUAAUUUGUAUCAUCUACAUCCGGCAUGUUCAACUUUGUACCUAAUUACUUUACUAUCUCGAGUCCACUUUUAUUUGUACAUUCUUCCGCUUAUCGCCUUUCAUCCCUCUAUAUAUAAGAAAUCAUUUUUAUGUUAUAGGGCAGUCAGAAUAAGUUAGUUGUUACUAUACGACCUAAUGUCAAUUCCAAAUUCCAAGUUUUAAUAAAUUAUAGUAGUAGUUAGAAGUAAAGUACUGGAGUUUCUCUUUCCCAUCACCGGACCAUCACAAAAUUGGUGUCAGAAGUGGGAUAGUAAUAGUGCGGUUGGAAAAUUUAUUUCAAAUUCAAUUUGAAAUUUCAAUCAGCAAGUUUGGGAAACUUCGAUUUGGGCUAUCGUCCAUCAUCCAGUGGUGCAACAUCCAGGUCUUCAAGGUUCGUGUAUUCGUGCUACCUGCUGCAUCGUCGCUACCAUAGGUGACAAACGGCGAUAUUCAACCCCAGACGUGAAGGUUUUCGAAAAUCGUGUGGUCCAGUGUAACAUAAUGGGAUUCCAGCAGUUAUCUUCCCUUGUGCAACUCAUUCUGUCUAUCAGCUUAUUAGCAACACUUGAAUACGCACAAAUCACCGAUCAACAACAGUACACCGUAACACCGAUUAACCAUUUCUCUGGUAUAUAUUUUGAACACAUAAAUAAUGUGAAAUUUCAAGAGACACAUUGGCAAAUAGUAUCCUACCUCGAUAUAAGUUCAUUAGAAGAUAAGUUAUCGUUCAUUGAUCAUGCUUAUAAUCAAACUUUGCAUCUUUGCCAAAGUAAUCAACAUUCAUUAAUGGCGUUAUGUCAAUCAUCGUUAAAACUAUUAAAACAUAUAGUACCUUAUUUGCAUAAAUCAGAAGUAGAUCUCAAAAAUCUUAUUAAUAAUAAGAGAACUAAACGCGCUUGGUUAAAUAUCGUUGGCGAUGCUCUAAAAACUGCUUUUGGUACACUUGAUGAAGCAGAUGCUAAAUAUUAUAAUGGAAUUAUAAAUCAGAUAAACAAAAACGAAUAUAAUUUAGGCAAACUUUUAAAACAACAAAUAAUGGUAGUAAAUUCGACAAUAGCGAACUUUAACAAUACCAUCACAGAUUUGAAUAAGAACUCCAAAAUUUUUGAAGAAAAUCUUAUACAAAUAAGUAACUAUUCCCGUAAAAUAAACAAUAGGUAUCUUGCAUUAGAAUUAAAACAAAAUUUAGACGAACACUUUUCUUUAUUAAAUCUAGUUAUUACAACAUUACAAAACGAAAUAACGACCGUUAUGGACACGAUUUUACUUUCUAGAUCAAACAUUUUACACCCUUAUGUCAUAACACCAUUUCAAUUGAUCGAAGAAUUGAGUAAAACAAUUCCACAUUUACCUAGUUCAUCUACGUAUCCUUUACCAGUUAACCGCGAAAAUGCACACAAAUAUUUAGAAUUACUCACAAUCAAAUGUUUCUUCACCGACAACAGAAUUGGCUAUGUUCUAUCAAUACCUCUUGUAAAUCGAAAUCAAUUUAAUCUUUAUAAAUUAAUUCCAUUACCGGUUUUAGACAACUCAACCUCUUAUUAUAAAUUUAUUUUACCGUCAUUCAAUUAUCUAGCAAUCUCCGAAAACCAUAAUUUGUAUUUAGGUUUAAAUGAGUUAACUAAUUGUCAAAAUUUAGAUGAAUCAACUUUUAUUUGUGUAACUUCGGAACCUUUCUACUAUACAAAUUCUAGACCUAUAUGUGAAACCGAACUUUUAAAAUCUCCUCUCAAUAUCCCAAUAAAUUGCAACAUAAGAAUUAUAACCUCUCGCUUAGAAAUUUGGCAUAAAUUGGAUAAACCGAAUACAUGGAUUUAUAUUUUACCCAAAAGAACUGAUAUCGCCUUAAAUUGCUUUCAAAUGUCACACAUAACCCUUUUCUUAGAAAAUACUGGAGUUUUAAAAAUUAACUCAAAUUGUAAAUUAUACACAAGUUCCGCAACUUUCUUAACCGAUAAAACAAUUCGUAAUAGUACACACAAUGCUGUUGUACCUCAGUUAAAAUUAAAUGACGAUUGUUGCAUUAAUUUAACUAAAACAAAAAAUUUUUCUUUAAAUCUAUUACCUAUAACACCUACUAAUCUUCACAUCGACACAUUAAAAGAAGCAAGCCAUAAAUUACAAGAUAUUGCCAAAUCAACAGACGAAUUAUUAUUAAAUAAAGAUUUAACUUUCUUCCAGGAUACUAGUUAUACUAAUCAUAUUUUUCUUUUGAUUUUCGUAAUUUUCAUAAUAUUCUCAUUAUAUUCGCUGUCCAAAUAUUGUAAGAAACGUCACUCAAAUCACUCGAUAUUUAAUCUAUGUAAAAAAUCAUCAUCAGCUCCAUCUUAUAAUGUAAAAUAUGAUAGUUCAGCAGGCUCACAUUCAGAAUCUCAUUCAUCAGCAGUAGAUAUAAGUCCGGUUGCGCCAAAUACAUCGUCAUCACUACCAAAAUUAAGAACCGAUAAAUCGUAUUCUUAAUUUUCUUUUACGGAGGGAGGUGUAAUGUACCCAUUAUAAAUAUCCCUUUAACGUUAUAAUUAUCAUUAUCAUUAGUAAACAUCUUUCAUUAUCAUUAGCAAACGUCUUAAAUUUAAUUUGUAUCAUCUACAUCCGGCAUGUUCAACUUUGUACCUAAUUACUUUACUAUCUCGAGUCCACUUUUAUUUGUACAUUCUUCCGCUUAUCGCCUUUCAUCCCUCUAUAUAUAAGAAAUCAUUUUUAUGUUAUAGGGCAGUCAGAAUAAGUUAGUUGUUACUAUACGACCUAAUGUCAAUUCCAAAUUCCAAGUUUUAAUAAAUUAUAGUAGUAGUUAGAAGUAAA
Long non-coding RNA from Tribolium castaneum (red flour beetle), 3129 nucleotides. RefSeq lists it as uncharacterized. The record is from RefSeq and is a predicted model, not a curated record. Lineage: Eukaryota; Metazoa; Arthropoda; Insecta; Coleoptera; Tenebrionidae. The transcript has 2 exons.